GUAAGUUAGCGUUCAUCACUAUUUAGCGUUAAUGCUGCUGAAAUGCCUGGCUGAGUUUGUGAUAUCUAGGCAGGAAGCUCUCGAAAAUGUAUUCAGUGGAAAACAAUAACACACUUUUCAAAUGGAAGGGAGUGGGACUCCUGUCUUCCCAGAUGGCAGAGAGAUUUCCCGCAUGACUCCACAUGCCGAAGUGUCCUUGGGCAAGACACUGAACCCAAAGUUGCUCCCAAUGGCUCGCUGUCGUAACGUCUUAAUAGAUGUAUGCACCCAUCACCAGUGGCUGCGGAGCAUUAGAAUGGAGACUCGGCGAUGCACCAUCUAUCAUAUGAACCCACUUUGUCCUGUGUCGCUUCAUACAGUAUCUGAUACCUUUGGGUUUGGCUUUUUAUACAUAUACUGUACUGUAUAUCCAUUUUUCCUUUGUAUUAUCGUGUGGUUUAUAAAGUAGAGCUUGUCAGAAUAGAGUGUAUAGCCUUUCGCAUUUGAAAUGAAAUUGUUACCAUUGUGUAAAUGUGUGCAUGUGUGCUUAUGAAGGGUGUGUUUGUCU
Molecule: long non-coding RNA, 547 nt
Organism: Ictalurus punctatus (channel catfish)
Lineage: Eukaryota; Metazoa; Chordata; Actinopteri; Siluriformes; Ictaluridae
Source: Ensembl